CGCCACCUCAUGACUUACGACCAGGGCUACACACGUGCUACAAUGGCGCAUACAAAGAGAAGCGACCUCGCGAGAGCAAGCGGACCUCAUAAAGUGCGUCGUAGUCCGGAUUGGAGUCUGCAACUCGACUCCAUGAAGUCGGAAUCGCUAGUAAUCGUGGAUCAGAAUGCCACGGUGAAUACGUUCCCGGGCCUUGUACACACCGCCCGUCACACCAUGGGAGUGGGUUGCAAAAGAAGUAGGUAGCUUAACCUUCGGGAGGGCGCUUACCACUUUGUGAUUCAUGACUGGGGUGAAGUCGUAACAAGGUAACCGUAGGGGAACCUGCGGUUGGAUCACCUCCAAAA
RNAcentral lists this ribosomal RNA (347 nucleotides) under Escherichia coli. RNAcentral describes it as "bacterial SSU rRNA". It matches the Rfam family "Bacterial small subunit ribosomal RNA", at positions 1188 to 1533 of the family's 1533-position model. The record is from RNAcentral. Lineage: Bacteria; Pseudomonadati; Pseudomonadota; Gammaproteobacteria; Enterobacterales; Enterobacteriaceae.